Molecule: unclassified non-coding RNA, 298 nt
Filed under: uncultured fungus
Lineage: Eukaryota; Fungi
Description: partial contains small subunit ribosomal RNA, internal transcribed spacer 1, and 5.8S ribosomal RNA
Rfam family: Eukaryotic small subunit ribosomal RNA (bases 1-73)
Source: RNAcentral
GCAAACUUGGUCAUUUAGAGGAAGUAAAAGUCGUAACAAGGUUUCCGUAGGUGAACCUGCGGAAGGAUCAUUAAAAAAAUUCACAGAAUUUCGUAUUCUUAAACCCCUGCAGUGUACCUGUUCUUGUUGCUUCCGUGGGUAGUAGGCAUUGCGCUUGCGGCCACCUUGCGUUAUGGUGGGCCUGCGGGAGAUAAUUAAUAUACUCUGUCUUUACACGAUACCUGUCUGAGCUGAUUUGAUAAAUGUUAAAACUUUCAACAACGGAUCUCUUGGUUCUCGCAUCGAUGAAGAACGCAGC